GGAGAGAUGCUGGAGCGACUGACCGAACCCGUCCCGAAAACGGGAGUAGGGCAAUGCUACCGGGGGUUCAAAUCCCCCCGUCUCUCUA
This 88-nucleotide transfer RNA is filed under the name Pectobacterium brasiliense. RNAcentral describes it as "tRNA-OTHER". Lineage: Bacteria; Pseudomonadati; Pseudomonadota; Gammaproteobacteria; Enterobacterales; Pectobacteriaceae. The record is from RNAcentral.